UCCUGGCUUUUGAAGUGAGAAGAACAGAUGGUGUACAGAUAUAUUUGAAAACCAAGCAGAAAAUUCUGAAGAAGAUUGUUCAGCGUGAUAUGAAGCACUAUUGACGGACCUAUCAGCAAUCCAGUAAACAUCUGCAAAUUCUGCAAGAGGAAGCAUAAUCUGGGAUAUCCAGAAGACAGCAGUGAAUGGUG
Non-coding RNA from Python bivittatus (Burmese python), 191 nucleotides. Lineage: Eukaryota; Metazoa; Chordata; Lepidosauria; Squamata; Pythonidae. The record is from RefSeq and is a predicted model, not a curated record.